This 468-nucleotide ribosomal RNA is filed under the name uncultured bacterium. RNAcentral describes it as "partial 16S ribosomal RNA". It matches the Rfam family "Bacterial small subunit ribosomal RNA", at positions 28 to 507 of the family's 1533-position model. The record is from RNAcentral.
GACGAACGCUGGCGGCGUGCUUAACACAUGCCAGUCGAACGGAAAGGCCCUGCUUUUGUGGGGUGCUCGAGUGGCGAACGGGUGAGUAACACGUGAGUAACCUGCCCUUGACUUUGGGAUAACUUCAGGAAACUGGGGCUAAUACCGGAUAGGAGCUCCUGCUGCAUGGUGGGGGUUGGAAAGUUUCGGCGGUUGGGGAUGGACUCGCGGCUUAUCAGCUUGUUGGUGGGGUAGUGGCUUACAAAGGCUUUGACGGGUAGCCGGCCUGAGAGGGUGACCGGCCACAUUGGGACUGAGAUACGGCCCAGACUCCUACGGGAGGCAGCAGUGGGGAAUAUUGCACAAUGGGCGGAAGCCUGAUGCAGCAACGCCGCGUGCGGGAUGACGGCCUUCGGGUUGUAAACCGCUUUCGCCUGUGACGAAGCGUGAGUGACGGUAAUGGGUAAAGAAGCACCGGCUAACUACGUG